Molecule: long non-coding RNA, 101 nt
Organism: Dermochelys coriacea (leatherback sea turtle)
Lineage: Eukaryota; Metazoa; Chordata; Testudines; Dermochelyidae
Exons: 3
Source: RefSeq, a predicted model, not a curated record
CUGCUCUUGGCAAUUUGAAAAGAAGAAAAUACAAAUAAAAUAGACUAUUUCAGCUAUUCUAUUAGGUCAUAAUCUGAUCUGAGUAAACGUGAUAAGACACC